CUAAGUUCCAGAAUCGAGUGUCGUUGAGGAUCUGGAGACAAGAUCCUCCUGGAUUUAGAAUGGGCCCUAAACCCAAUGUCUGGGAUCCUUGCAAGAAGAGGAGACACGGAGAGACAGACGGCCACGUGAGACCUCCCCUUCACGCGCCUGCAAAUGGGAACUUUGGACUUCGUGGCCUUGAAGGAAAUGUGGGUGCAGGGGGACCCUUGUUGCCUGUGAGGAUCAAGGGGGCAGUGACCCCAACAGCCAUGUACAUCAUGGGCUCACUCUGACAGAUGCCCUUCGCGUUCAAACCUCAUGACCAUCCUUUGAGACAGGCGCUGGUGUUGUUCCCAUUGUACAGAAGGGGACACUGAGGCACAACAAGGAUUCAUACAGUGAAGCCCCGAUUCUGCACCUUGAGGAUAUGUGGAGACAGGGCCUUCAAGGA
Molecule: long non-coding RNA, 430 nt
Organism: Molossus molossus (Pallas's mastiff bat)
Lineage: Eukaryota; Metazoa; Chordata; Mammalia; Chiroptera; Molossidae
Exons: 4
Source: RefSeq, a predicted model, not a curated record